AUGUCAUAAAGUUGGACAGACCUGGGUGGGAUCUCUACUCGAAUAGAAGGCGCGAAUUCAUCGAUGCUAUGACAGCCCUUCCUUGCCUAACGGAAACUGUUUUCUCAGGUCGAGUUGAGGGCUUGAGCUUCUAUGAUUCCUGUAGGCUUCUCUUCUCGCUACUCCAGUCUAGUGGGGAAGGGUGUUGUUCCCUUUCCCGAAAUAAAGAGAAAGAUCCCGAGAAAAAAGAAGUAGGCUUCGGUUCAAUCUGGGAUCGAACUAUCCUCUUUUCUUUGGCUGUGUCAAGCCAGUUCUCUGAUCCGAGGGGGACUCUUGUGAAGUAA
Molecule: long non-coding RNA, 323 nt
Filed under: Vicia faba (fava bean)
Lineage: Eukaryota; Viridiplantae; Streptophyta; Magnoliopsida; Fabales; Fabaceae
Source: RNAcentral